UAGGGAAUCUUCCACAAUGGACGAAAGUCUGAUGGAGCAACGCCGCGUGAGUGAAGAAGGUUUUCGGAUCGUAAAGCUCUGUUGUUGGUGAAGAAGGAUAGAGGCAGUAACUGGUCUUUAUUUGACGGUAAUCAACCAGAAAGUCACGGCUAACUACGUGCCAGCAGCCGCGGUAAUACGUAGGUGGCAAGCGUUGUCCGGAUUUAUUGGGCGUAAAGCGAGCGCAGGCGGAAUGAUAAGUCUGAUGUGAAAGCCCACGGCUCAACCGUGGAACUGCAUCGGAAACUGUCAUUCUUGAGUGCAGAAGAGGAGAGUGGAACUCCAUGUGUAGCGGUGGAAUGCGUAGAUAUAUGGAAGAACACCAGUGGCGAAGGCGGCUCUCUGGUCUGCAACUGACGCUGAGGCUCGAAAGCAUGGGUAGCGAACAGGAUUAGAUACCCUGGUAGUCCACGCUGUAAACGA
Molecule: ribosomal RNA, 462 nt
Filed under: uncultured bacterium
Lineage: Bacteria
Description: partial 16S ribosomal RNA
Rfam family: Bacterial small subunit ribosomal RNA
Source: RNAcentral